Molecule: long non-coding RNA, 558 nt
Organism: Rhincodon typus (whale shark)
Lineage: Eukaryota; Metazoa; Chordata; Chondrichthyes; Orectolobiformes; Rhincodontidae
Exons: 3
Source: RefSeq, a predicted model, not a curated record
UUUUAGAUGGCAGAGGCAUAUGUUUGGAAGGUGCUGUCCAAAGAGCCUUGCGUAGCCCCAGAAGAACUAUCGAGGGGCUCAUUUAAUUGCAUUUGAUGAAGCAAACCUCCAAAUCACUGCUAGCACUGGCAAAGAACUGAAUACGUGAGGAGCCUGACCCGAGGAGAUGAGAACUGCCAGCAGAGAGAAGAGCCAAAGAUUUUAUUCCAGCAUAACUAAUGGAAAUGAGGCAGCAAGCUGUGCACAGCAAGAUCCCACAAAGAAAAAUGUGAUCAAGACCGAAUUUACUUGUUUUAGUGAUGAUGGUUGUGGAAUGAAAGUUGGAAUGUCCUUGAUCUAUUCUGGAAUAGUGCUGCAGGACGCAUUAUGCCCACCUGAGAGGGCAGAAAAUUGGCCUGGCUACCGGGCAGAAAACAGAGUAAAAAUCUUCCUAUAACAGUUGCAUCUCUCUGUUCAUCGUGUUUCUAGGUCCCAGACCUCAGGCAACAACUCCCCUUCCUUUCCACCUCUCCAUUAAGAAGUGCUUAAGUGUUUGUUGAAUUCUCCCCAAGCCACUGA